GAUGAACGCUGGCGGCGUGCCUAAUACAUGCAAGUCGAGCGAACAGACGUGGAGCUUGCUCCUCUGACGUUAGCGGUGGACGGGUGAGUAACACGUGGAUAACCUACCUAUAAGACUGGGAUAACUUCGGGAAACCGGAGCUAAUACCGGAUAACAUGUUGAACCGCAUGGUUCAACAGUGAAAGACGGUCUUGCUGUCACUUAUAGAUGGAUCCGCGCCGCAUUAGCUAGUUGGUAAGGUAACGGCUUACCAAGGCAACGAUGCGUAGCCGACCUGUGAGGGUGAUCGGCCACACUGGAACUGAGACACGGUCCAGACUCCUACGGGAGGCAGCAGUAGGGAAUCUUCCGCAAUGGGCGAAAGCCUGACGGAGCAACGCCGCGUGAGUGAAGAAGGUCUUCGGAUCGUAAAACUCUGUUAUUAGGGAAGAACAAAUGUGUAAGUAACUAUGCACGUCUUGACGGUACCUAAUCAGAAAGCCACGGCUAACUACGUGCCAGCCGCCGCCGUAA
This 513-nucleotide ribosomal RNA is filed under the name uncultured bacterium. RNAcentral's name for it is "partial 16S ribosomal RNA". It matches the Rfam family "Bacterial small subunit ribosomal RNA", at positions 28 to 523 of the family's 1533-position model. The record is from RNAcentral.